RNAcentral lists this ribosomal RNA (492 nucleotides) under uncultured bacterium. Its description in RNAcentral is "partial 16S ribosomal RNA". It matches the Rfam family "Bacterial small subunit ribosomal RNA", at positions 29 to 507 of the family's 1533-position model. The record is from RNAcentral.
AGUGAACGCUGGCGGUAGGCCUAACACAUGCAAGUCGAACGGCAGCACAGUAAGAGCUUGCUCUUACGGGUGGCGAGUGGCGGACGGGUGAGGAAUACAUCGGAAUCUACUUUUUCGUGGGGGAUAACGUAGGGAAACUUACGCUAAUACCGCAUACGACCUACGGGUGAAAGCAGGGGAUCUUCGGACCUUGCGCGAUUGAAUGAGCCGAUGUCGGAUUAGCUAGUUGGCGGGGUAAAGGCCCACCAAGGCGACGAUCCGUAGCUGGUCUGAGAGGAUGAUCAGCCACACUGGAACUGAGCCACGGUCCAGACUCCUACGGGAGGCAGCAGUGGGGAAUAUUGGACAAUGGGCGCAAGCCUGAUCCAGCCAUACCGCGUGGGUGAAGAAGGCCUUCGGGUUGUAAAGCCCUUUUGUUGGGAAAGAAAAGCAGCAGGUUAAUACCCCGCUGUUCUGACGGUGCCCAAAGAAUAAGCACCGGCUAACUUCGUG